Molecule: long non-coding RNA, 257 nt
Organism: Anopheles aquasalis
Lineage: Eukaryota; Metazoa; Arthropoda; Insecta; Diptera; Culicidae
Source: RefSeq, a predicted model, not a curated record
ACCAACUCUGUUGUGACAGCCGGAUGGCGACAACCGCACCAGAAAGAAGAAGUAGAGGAGUUUCGCCGAAACAGCAAAACACAGGCAUCGAAUCACGUUGAACUGGCCCAUUUAAUAGGAGUUUUGUCUUUGUGCGGUCCGCGGAAUCGCCAGAAAUCGCAGAGUUGACAUUUUUUUCCCUUCGCGCGUGACAUAACGGAGCCCGGCUUCGUACGAAACACGUUCCCGAUCCGCUCAGGUUGGGCUCUAAACCUGCG